AACGAACGCUGGCGGCAUGCCUAACACAUGCAAGUCGAACGAGAUCUUCGGGUCUAGUGGCGCACGGGUGCGUAACGCGUGGGAAUCUGCCCUUUGGUUCGGAAUAACAGUUGGAAACGACUGCUAAUACCGGAUGAUGACGAAAGUCCAAAGAUUUAUCGCCAGAGGAUGAGCCCGCGUAGGAUUAGCUAGUUGGUGUGGUAAAGGCGCACCAAGGCGACGAUCCUUAGCUGGUCUGAGAGGAUGAUCAGCCACACUGGGACUGAGACACGGACCAGACUCCUGCGGGAGGCAGCAGUGGGGAAUAUUGGACAAUGGGCGAAAGCCUGAUCCAGCAAUGCCGCGUGAGUGAUGAAGGCCUUAGGGUUGUAAAGCUCCUUUACCCGGGAUGAUAAUGACAGUACCGGGAGAAUAAGCUCCGGCUAACUCCGUGCCAGCCGCCGCAGUAA
RNAcentral lists this ribosomal RNA (449 nucleotides) under uncultured bacterium. RNAcentral's name for it is "partial 16S ribosomal RNA". It matches the Rfam family "Bacterial small subunit ribosomal RNA", at positions 29 to 523 of the family's 1533-position model. The record is from RNAcentral.